UACGGAGGGUGCAAGCGUUGUUCGGAAUUACUGGGCGUAAAGCGCGUGUAGGCGGUUUCCUCAGUCUGGUGUGAAAGCCCGGGGCUCACCCCCGGAAGUGCAUCGGAUACUGGGAGACUAGAGUACCGGAGAGGAGGGUGGAAUUCAUGGUGUAGCAGUGAAAUGCGUAGAUAUCGUAAGGAAGACCAGUGGCGAAGGCGGGUCUCUGGACAGUUCCUGACACUGAGACACGAAGGCCAGGGGAGCAAACGGG
This 253-nucleotide ribosomal RNA is filed under the name uncultured bacterium. Its description in RNAcentral is "partial 16S ribosomal RNA". It matches the Rfam family "Bacterial small subunit ribosomal RNA", at positions 524 to 776 of the family's 1533-position model. The record is from RNAcentral.